GACGAGCGCUGGCGGCGUGCUUAAAAACAUGCAAGUCGAACGGACUUCUCAUGAAGCUUGCGAUUGAGAAGUUAGUGGCGGACGGGUGAGUAACGCGUGGGCAACCUGCCCCUGAGCCCGGGAUAACAGUUCGAAAGGACUGCUAAGACCGGAUAUACUUGCGGUGAAGCAUUUCACUGCAAGGAAAGGGAACGCUCAGGGAUGGGCCCGCGUCCCAUUAGCUAGUUGGUGAGGUAACGGCCCACCAAGGCGACGAUGGGUAGCCGGCCUGAGAGGGUGAACGGCCACACUGGGACUGAGACACGGCCCAGACUCCUACGGGAGGCAGCAGUUGGGAAUCUUCGGCAAUGGGCGCAAGCCUGACCGAGCAACGCCGCGUGAGUGAUGAAGGUUUUCGGAUUGUAAAGCUCUGUCUUCCGGGACGAUAAUGACGGUACCGGAGGAGGAAGCCACGGCUAACUACGUG
RNAcentral lists this ribosomal RNA (466 nucleotides) under uncultured bacterium. RNAcentral describes it as "bacterial SSU rRNA". It matches the Rfam family "Bacterial small subunit ribosomal RNA", at positions 28 to 507 of the family's 1533-position model. The record is from RNAcentral.